Molecule: ribosomal RNA, 253 nt
Filed under: uncultured bacterium
Lineage: Bacteria
Description: partial 16S ribosomal RNA
Rfam family: Bacterial small subunit ribosomal RNA
Source: RNAcentral
UACGUAGGGGCCUAGCGUUGUCCGGAAUUAUUGGGCGUAAAGAGCUCGUAGGUGGUUCGGCAAGUCGGAUGUGAAAGCCCACGGCUCAACCGUAGAGGGUCAUUGGAAACUGGGGGACUUGAGUACAGAAGAGAAGAGUGGAAUUCCACGUGUAGCGGUGAAAUGCGUAGAGAUGUGGAGGAACACCAGUGGCGAAGGCGACUCUUUGGUCUGUAACUGACGCUGAGGCGCGAAAGCGUGGGGAGCAAACAGG